This 87-nucleotide transfer RNA is filed under the name bacterium. RNAcentral describes it as "tRNA-Ser". It matches the Rfam family "tRNA". Rfam says of the family: Transfer RNA (tRNA) molecules are approximately 80 nucleotides in length. RNAcentral also lists the same sequence under 2 other names. The record is from RNAcentral.
GGAGGGCUAGUCCUAACUGGUAAGGCAGCGGUCUUGAAAACCGCCGGGAGCGAUCCCCUGGGGGUUCGAAUCCCCCGCCCUCCGCCA